AGAGAAUUUUAAAAGAAGCUGCUAACUAUCUUUAAGAUAAAUAAAAUUAUCAUUCUCUU
RNAcentral lists this transfer RNA (59 nucleotides) under Cantacader sp. Its description in RNAcentral is "tRNA-Ser". The record is from RNAcentral. Lineage: Eukaryota; Metazoa; Arthropoda; Insecta; Hemiptera; Tingidae.